This is a long non-coding RNA of Heterocephalus glaber (naked mole-rat), 319 nucleotides long. Lineage: Eukaryota; Metazoa; Chordata; Mammalia; Rodentia; Bathyergidae. The record is from Ensembl.
GCACAAAGGAAGGCUAUUGUUAUUGCUUCUUGGGAGAGAUAACAAGUCAAAAUCACUCUUGAAGAUAUAUACCCAUGAUGAUAUGCAGAAUUUAAUGAAACUGUGUUUUCCUCUUUUAAGGAUGUACCUACUCCACCUGCUCUUAUGUCUGGUCUCUGUUCUCCAACACUCCAUACAACAGGCACAAACAUUUGUGUUCAAAUGAACCCACAAUGCUUAAGCCAUACCUCUUCAGCUCUACCUACCAAGAAUUUCCCACCUUCUGUUCUGGAAGUGGCAGCCAUGUGUCUAGGACUCUGCAGAUCAGCACACAUCCAGC